Myxocyprinus asiaticus (Chinese sucker) is the source of this 3630-nucleotide RNA transcript. It is a transcript of the gene named REST corepressor 1-like, with no coding region annotated. The transcript is spliced from 14 exons. The record is from RefSeq and is a predicted model, not a curated record. NCBI's taxonomy places the organism in Eukaryota, Metazoa, Chordata, Actinopteri, Cypriniformes, Catostomidae.
AGAGAGAGAGAGCGAGCUAGCGCUAAAGCAUUCGCACAGUUAGCACUGCAGCCUAAUGUGCAUUUAUCUGCUUUCGUAGCCAACUUUGACUUAUUUAAGCGUUAGUGUAAAAGAUCAUGCAUUCGAUACACCUUCUCAAGUUUUCAUAGCUUUAUAUUGUCAGUUGGGUGAGUUUGCAUCAGUGCAGGACGGUGUUUUUGUAAAGAGCUGAGUUAGCUUAGCUGUAGCGCGAGCAGCCAGCGAGUCGAAGUUCCCUCAAGCUCCCUUUGCGUUUAUCCUUUAAGAUGCCUGCAAUGUUAGAGAAGGGCACAACCGAGAUAUCGGGUAAAAGAAGGGGCAGAACAUCUGUAAAUAACCCGACCAAAAGUUUUACUUCAAACGGGAACAGUAACAAUUCAUGGGAGGAAGGAAGUUCGGGUUCCUCAAGUGAUGACGAGCAUGGUGCAGGAGGGAUGCGAGUUGGAUCGCAAUAUCAGGCAGUUGUUCCCGAUUAUGAUCCAGAAGUAGCAAAGGCAAGCCAUGAGAGAGAGAAUCUGGGUAUGCUUGUGUGGAUUCCAAGUCAGAGCAUAUCAGAGGCCAAAUUGGAUGAAUAUAUUGCAAUAGCCAAAGAAAAACAUGGGUACAAUAUGGAGCAGGCAUUGGGCAUGCUGUUUUGGCACAAACACAACAUUGAAAAGUCUUUGGCAGAUCUUCCCAACUUUACCCCUUUCCCAGAUGAGUGGACAGUGGAGGACAGGGUGCUGUUUGAACAGGGUUUCAGCUUUCAUGGAAAGACGUUUCACAGAAUCCAGCAGAUGCUACCAGACAAGUCCAUUGCAACUCUGGUUAGAUUCUAUUACUCGUGGAAGAAAACACGCAGCAAAACGAGUGUGAUGGACCGGCAUGCCCGCAAACAGAGGAGAGACAGAGAAGAGAGUGAUGAUGAAGCAGAAGAAAACCGUUGCAAUUCCCCAGGGGAUGCUGAAUUUGAGCCAAAUAAGGAAGAGAAGAAAGAGGGAACGUCUGGAGUUGAAAAACAAGAAUCAAAACCAGCAGUUGUGCAGAAGCCAGCAAACACUGCCGAAAAAUCAAUGCAUAUUAAGAAGGAAGCACAGGGACUUGCUGGGAGGAACCUACACAGAGCAAAGAAGAAACCUCCAAAGGGAAUGCAUUUAAACUCCAGUGAUGUGACUGCAAUCUCCAGCAGCGGCCCGGCUGCAGUUAGCCUUCUGAGACAGCUAGAUAUGGAGCUCAUCGGUAUAAAACGACAGAUUCAGAACAUUAAACAGAACAAUAGUGCCCUGAGAGACAAGCUGGAAACAGGUGUUGAUGAGUUCAGGCCAUCUGAGGCUAGUCAGAAAUUUAAUACACGCUGGACCACAGAAGAGCAGCUGCUUGCAGUACAAGCAAUAAGGAAGUAUGGACGGGAUUUCCAAGCUAUUUCUGAUGUGAUCGGCAACAAGUCUGUGGUUCAAGUGAAAAACUUCUUUGUGAAUUACCGUCGACGUUUUAACCUGGACGAGGUGCUGCAGGAGUGGGAGGCUGAGCACGGUGUGGAGGGAAGAGAGGAAGAAAAGAUGGAAGUGUCUUCCGAGGAAGGGAACAACCCUGGGCCUGCAGAAAGCCAGACAGAGGACUUUGACUUGGUCCUAGUCACACAUCCCUUCCAGUUACCUUUUUGUUACUGUAGUAUAUCUUCUAGUUAUAUGAUUUGUUCUUUGAAGUAGAAUGUAAAGAGGGUUAGAUGAUCUCUGGUUGGAUUAUGUCAAGCUAUUUAUUUGCGUGAAUUAGGAGAACUGCGCUGUAUCAAGAGACAGAGUAGAUUCAGUUUUAAUAUUAAUCUGAAAAAUUAGAUGGUUUGCAGCGCUUAUAUAUUGUUAAAGAGAAUUGGUCCAGUAUUAGGUCAGAAUAAAUGUUUAAUCAUGGACCCUUGUAUAUGGUGAAUUUUAAUUGAAAUGAAUUUUAUCUUAUAAGUAAGUACAGGCAAAUAUAGUUAUGGAAUGGGAAAUUGUAUUUUAAGAAUGUUUGUUUUUGCUUGUAUUUUAAAGAUAUCAUUUCGAACAGUUUUGCAUGCAUGAACAUUUUCUUGACACAGUCUCAGUGCCAAGGUUAAGCUUUUCACCCUCUUGGGGGUGUCUAAACAAAAAUUUGAUAUGGUGUUUGGAGAUAUAAGGUAGAUGAGUUCCUAUUAUAAGGGUUAUUUAAAAUACAUGCAUAUCUCACCUGUUUCAACCAACUUUUUCCCCUCUAAUAACUGUACCAGUACCAUAUACUGUAUGUGUGAACUCCUUUUAGGCAUAUGAGUGCUGAUAACAUGUAUAUGGUUGAGGUAAAAAUUUGUGUGUCUGCGUGUGUGGGUGUGAUCUAAUGUGGCCAUAGACUUCAUCUGUAUAUGUGAUCAGUUUGUCACAUUAGUCAUAAUAAACUUAAAGAGAUACUGUAUAUACUCUCCAAUGCAUUGUUACAAUUUUUUUUUAACUAAACACAUUUUGUUACAUUUAGAGAAUUCAUGCACUAUAUAAGUUAUAAUUUGAGAUGUAAAGCUUUGUAAACUCUUGGUGACAACAUCAUUCUUGUUUUGCAGUGGGUAAUAAAUCAAAGGAAUUAGUAAUAAGUAAAUAACAGACUAUGAAGGAGAUUUUUUUUUUCAGUGUUGUGUUCAGAAUAACAAGAACAGACAAUGCUAGAAACAUUUUAUGAGUUGUUAGAGGGGCAGUGACUCCUCAUUGCCUUCCACUUUCAAUUACACAACACUGUAAACGCACACACACACACACAAAAAGAGCCAGACUGAACAGCAACCAAGAAUGGUACAAUAUUGUAAUAAAUGCAUAUAUCUACAUAUGUUUGGACACUUAAAGGGAUAGUUCACUCAAAAAUGAAAAUUCUCUCAUCAUUUACUCAUAUGCCGUUUCUACAGAACAAAAAUGAAGAUUUGUAGAAGAAUAUUUCAGCUCUUUAGCUCUAUACAAUGCAAGUAAAUGGUGAUGACCAGACCUUUCAAGCUCCAAAAAUAACAAAGGCAGCAUAAAAGUAGUCCAUAUGACCAUAGGUGGAUUAUGGACUGGGCCAAUGGGGCCAGUGCCCAGGGGUCAUUGACUACCAUGGGCCCUGGGCUGCAACAGGGGCAUGUGACUAUGAGGGCCCCCAGCCUUCUUAUAGGACCCUUUUGCCUUCCUAUUUCUAAUUCAAUUUUAAUCUUAUAACGCUGCCUGUUUUGACAGCUGAAGUUUGAAAUUAUAAACAUUCUAAAACAGACUCAUAGCUCAUUUAUAUAUUCUGUCAAUGUAAUGUAAUCUAGGGGGAUUUUGGACACUUUGAAAAGGCUUAAAUUAUGCCUUUGCUGGGCUUUUCGAUGGAAGAAUGAUAAUGGUAGCUAAGCUGUAGGGUCGUUCCAAAAAAUGACCAACUGACCACUAUUUUUGAGGCCUACACCUUUCAGCCCUUCAAAGCUCUCACAAUGGAGGGUAAAGUCUUUGAAGGAAAUAGGGUAUAGGGAUGAUCGCUUCUGAAUGGAAUGCACUCCAUCAUUCAUAUGAGUUAGAAAAGGUAUAACAGCAUGAGCCAGAAUUACCUGAACUCUGCCAAAUUUCACCAAACCUUUGCAUAGAUAAUGUAGGAGCCAGCUGUAUUUGUUAAAUUCAUAAAUAU